CGGGGUGUAGCGCAACCUGGUAGCGCACUUGAUUUGGGAUCAAGUUGUUGGAGGUUCAAAUCCUCUCACCCCGACCA
RNAcentral lists this transfer RNA (77 nucleotides) under Deltaproteobacteria bacterium. Its description in RNAcentral is "tRNA-Pro". It matches the Rfam family "tRNA". Rfam says of the family: Transfer RNA (tRNA) molecules are approximately 80 nucleotides in length. Lineage: Bacteria; Pseudomonadati; Myxococcota; Myxococcia. The record is from RNAcentral.